AUUGAACGCUGGCGGCAUGCUUUACACAUGCAAGUCGAACGGCAGCGGGGGCUUCGGUCCGCCGGCGAGUGGCGAACGGGUGAGUAAUGCAUCGGAACGUGCCCAGUCGUGGGGGAUAACACAUCGAAAGAUGUGCUAAUACCGCAUACGUCCUGAGGGAGAAAGCGGGGGAUCUUCGGACCUCGCGCGAUUGGAGCGGCCGAUGUCGGAUUAGCUAGUUGGUGGGGUAAAGGCCCACCAAGGCGACGAUCCGUAGCGGGUCUGAGAGGAUGAUCCGCCACACUGGGACUGAGACACGGCCCAGACUCCUACGGGAGGCAGCAGUGGGGAAUUUUGGACAAUGGGGGCAACCCUGAUCCAGCCAUGCCGCGUGAGUGAAGAAGGCCUCGG
RNAcentral lists this ribosomal RNA (390 nucleotides) under uncultured bacterium. Its description in RNAcentral is "bacterial SSU rRNA". It matches the Rfam family "Bacterial small subunit ribosomal RNA", at positions 28 to 420 of the family's 1533-position model. The record is from RNAcentral.